AAUAAUAAAAUGUAGUGAAUUGAAACACUUAAUAUAUAAUUAAAAAGUUUAGAUAAUUAACAAUAUAAAACAAACAAGAUCAUAUUAUUUAAAAUGUAUGUGAUUAGUUUUCAUAAAAGUUAUGUGAAUUGGGAAAACUGAGGAUGCAACUCCAGUCCAGAGGUGGCGCUACUUGCUGCACAUCACGGUUGUUCACAGCCAAACGUUUGAGCGCUGCAUUUCUACUUCCUGUUGCCCUUCAACUGUGUGGGGAGUGGAGCGAGAUCAAUGUUAUGAUACAAAACUAUUGUGGUAUUUUUGUCAUUCUCCUCAACGGGACAUCCAUGUGGCGACAUGGCUGGUAUUAUCUCCGUGUUCAAUCUGGUCAAGCAGAUGAGGGGCCUUCAUUUACUGCCGACAUAGAUGAGGUUCUGAUCAAGAAGGUGAUGCAACGCCCAUGCUCAACCUGGAGGAAGGAGGUUCUCCGGGAGCCAGCAAUUCCAGACUUCCAGAACAGAUGGCACUUUUUGAUGCCAGCGAGGUAAAUGUAGUGUAGUUGACUGGACUGUCACUGGACUAAACCAGUGACAUUCUUAUCUUUUGGUGUUGUCGUCAAUGCCAUUAACCUGC
Engraulis encrasicolus (European anchovy) is the source of this 609-nucleotide long non-coding RNA. RefSeq lists it as uncharacterized. NCBI's taxonomy places the organism in Eukaryota, Metazoa, Chordata, Actinopteri, Clupeiformes, Engraulidae. The record is from RefSeq and is a predicted model, not a curated record. The transcript is spliced from 3 exons.